GUAUGAAGCUCAGAUAACUGGAUGAGAGAGACAGACCAGUAGGAGUGACUCCACUUGGCUACUGAGAGCAUCUCCUCUAGACCAGUGGCACUGAGUUCCCCAGCUGAACUUCAGUCAUGAAGAUCCUUUACCUGUUCUUUGCUGUUGUCUUUCUGGUGCUUCAGGGCCCAGCAGCAGUCUCCCAGGCUCAGAGGAUCAGGAGCUGUACUUUCCCGGGGGGUGUCUGUUACCGUAGAAGAUGCCCUACUGGUACUUGGAUGGGGGAGAAUUGUCUUGGAGGGGGUGUGUGUUGUUACAGACGAUACCCUGACUGAUUAUCCAGCCACUUGCUUCUAAAAUCAUCUGACUCUGCUUCAAUGGAAUCCUAAAGUGCUGUUCAUUUGGACUGGGAAGAACUUUGUGAGCUAGAGAAAUUCAAGAAGGCAGCCCUUGUAUCCCUCAUAGAGGAUUUCUCCCUUUCCUUUUAAUAAAAGCA
Molecule: long non-coding RNA, 475 nt
Organism: Pelodiscus sinensis (Chinese soft-shelled turtle)
Lineage: Eukaryota; Metazoa; Chordata; Testudines; Trionychidae
Source: RefSeq, a predicted model, not a curated record